CCUACGGGAUGCAGCAGUGGGGAAUAUUGCACAAUGGGCGCAAGCCUGAUGCAGCCAUGCCGCGUGUAUGAAGAAGGCCUUCGGGUUGUAAAGUACUUUCAGCGGGGAGGAAGGCGAUGAGGUUAAUAACCUUGUCGAUUGACGUUACCCGCAGAAGAAGCACCGGCUAACUCCGUGCCAGCAGCCGCGGUAAUACGGAGGGUGCAAGCGUUAAUCGGAAUUACUGGGCGUAAAGCGCACGCAGGCGGUCUGUCAAGUCGGAUGUGAAAUCCCCGGGCUCAACCUGGGAACUGCAUUCGAAACUGGCAGGCUGGAGUCUUGUAGAGGGGGGUAGAAUUCCAGGUGUAGCGGUGAAAUGCGUAUAGAUCUGGAGGAAUACCGGUGGCGAAGGCGGCCCCCUGGACAAAGACUGACGCUCAGGUGCGAAAGCGUGGGGAGCAAACAGGAUUAGAUACCCCCGUAGUC
RNAcentral lists this ribosomal RNA (465 nucleotides) under uncultured bacterium. RNAcentral's name for it is "bacterial SSU rRNA". It matches the Rfam family "Bacterial small subunit ribosomal RNA", at positions 338 to 795 of the family's 1533-position model. The record is from RNAcentral.